This 445-nucleotide ribosomal RNA is filed under the name uncultured bacterium. RNAcentral describes it as "partial 16S ribosomal RNA". It matches the Rfam family "Bacterial small subunit ribosomal RNA", at positions 354 to 796 of the family's 1533-position model. The record is from RNAcentral.
GUGAGGAAUAUUGGUCAAUGGGCGGGAGCCCGAACCAGCCAAGUCGCGUGAAGGAAGAAGGAUCUAUGGUUCGUAAACUUCUUUUGCAGGGGAAUAAAGUGCAGGACGUGUCCUGUUUUGUAUGUACCCUGAGAAUAAGGAUCGGCUAACUCCGUGCCAGCAGCCGCGGUAAUACGGAGGAUCCGAGGGUUAUCCGGAUUUAUUGGGUUUAAAGGGUGCGUAGGUGGUUUGAUAAGUCAGCGGUGAAAGUUUGCAGCUUAACUGUAAAAAUGCCGUUGAAACUGUCGGACUUGAGUGUAAAUGAGGUAGGCGGAAUGCGUGGUGUAGCGGUGAAAUGCAUAGAUAUCACGCAGAACUCCGAUUGCGAAGGCAGCUUACUAAGCUACAACUGACACUGAAGCACGAAAGCGUGGGGAUCAAACAGGAUUAGAAACCCGUGUAGUCC